GUUAGUGGCGGACGGGUGAGUAACGCGUGAGUAACCUGCCCUUGAGAGGGGGAUAACGUCUGGAAACGGACGCUAAUACCGCAUAAAAUUAUCCAGUCGCAUGGCAGGAUAAUCAAAGGAGCAAUCCGCUGAAGGAUGGACUCGCGUCCGAUUAGAUAGUUGGUGAGGUAAAGGCUCACCAAGUCGACGAUCGGUAGCCGGACUGAGAGGUUGAACGGCCACAUUGGGACUGAGACACGGCCCAGACUCCUACGGGAGGCAGCAGUGGGGGAUAUUGCACAAUGGGCGAAAGCCUGAUGCAGCAACGCCGCGUGAGGGAAGACGGUUUUCAGAUUGUAAACCUCUGUUCUAAGUGACAAGAAUGACGGUAGCUUAGGAGGAAUCCCCGGCUAACUACGUGCCGCAGCCGCGUAAUACGUAAGGGGCAACCGUUGUCCGGAAUUAGGGGGUGUAGAGGUGCGUAGGCGGCAGGACCAAAUCAGAUGUGAAAUCCGGGGAGCUUAACCCCAGAACUGCAUUGGAAAGCUGUUUUGCUUGAGUGAAGAAAAGCAGGCAGAAAUGCCCGUGUGUAGCGGUAGAGUCGU
This 584-nucleotide ribosomal RNA is filed under the name uncultured bacterium. Its description in RNAcentral is "bacterial SSU rRNA". It matches the Rfam family "Bacterial small subunit ribosomal RNA", at positions 91 to 691 of the family's 1533-position model. The record is from RNAcentral.